This 132-nucleotide long non-coding RNA is filed under the name Mayetiola destructor (Hessian fly). RNAcentral describes it as "sphinx conserved region 2". It matches the Rfam family "Sphinx conserved region 2", at positions 1 to 138 of the family's 158-position model. The record is from RNAcentral. Lineage: Eukaryota; Metazoa; Arthropoda; Insecta; Diptera; Cecidomyiidae.
GCUGCAUGUAGUCGUCUUUUCUGGCGUUGGCAACAUAAAUAUUGUCAAACUAGACGUGUUGGAGUUGCUCCAUUCUUCCAAUUCGCCACGGCAAACAUGGUUUUGUUCUACAUUUUCAACUAUGGUCGUCUA